RNAcentral lists this ribosomal RNA (253 nucleotides) under uncultured bacterium. RNAcentral describes it as "partial 16S ribosomal RNA". It matches the Rfam family "Bacterial small subunit ribosomal RNA", at positions 524 to 776 of the family's 1533-position model. The record is from RNAcentral.
UACGAAGGGGGCUAGCGUUGUUCGGAAUUACUGGGCGUAAAGCGCGCGUAGGCGGAUUGAUUAGUCAGAGGUGAAAGCCCCGAGCUCAACUUGGGAACUGCCUUUGAUACUGUCAGUCUAGAGUACGAGAGAGGGUAGUGGAAUUUCCUGUGUAGCGGUGAGAUGCGUAGAUAUAGGAAGGAACAUCAGUGGCGAAGGCGACUGCCUGGCUCGAUACUGACGCUGAGGUGCGAAAGCGUGGGGAGCAAACAGG